This 400-nucleotide unclassified non-coding RNA is filed under the name soil metagenome. RNAcentral's name for it is "partial contains 5.8S ribosomal RNA, internal transcribed spacer 2, and large subunit ribosomal RNA". The stretch from base 1 to 122 matches the Rfam family "5.8S ribosomal RNA", at positions 35 to 154 of the family's 154-position model. The record is from RNAcentral.
GAUGAAGAACGUAGCGAAAUGCGAUACUUGGUGUGAAUUGCAGAAUCCCGUGAACCAUCGAGUCUUUGAACGCAAGUUGCGCCUCAAGCCAUUAGGUUGAGGGCACGUCUGCCUGGGCGUCACAUAUCGUUGCCUGAUGCCAGUUUCCUCGUGAUGGGUGACUGUGCAGGGCGAAUGAUGGCUUCCCGUGAGCAUUGUUGCCUCAUGGUUGGUUGAAAAUUGAGUCCUUGGUAGGGAGCGCCGUUAUAGAUGGUGGUUGAGUGACGAACGAGACCCAAUCAUGUGAGACCCCUACCGAAUUUGGCCUUCAUGACCCACAUGCGUCUUUGGAACGCUCAUGACGAGACCUCAGGUCAGGCGGGGCUACCCGCUGAGUUUAAGCAUAUCAAUAAGCGGAGGA